GAUGAAGGGAGCUUGCUCCUGGAUUCAGCGGCGGACGGGUGAGUAAUGCCUAGGAAUCUGCCUGGUAGUGGGGGAUAACGUCCGGAAACGGGCGCUAAUACCGCAUACGUCCUGAGGGAGAAAGUGGGGGAUCUUCGGACCUCACGCUAUCAGAUGAGCCUAGGUCGGAUUAGCUAGUUGGUGGGGUAAAGGCCUACCAAGGCGACGAUCCGUAACUGGUCUGAGAGGAUGAUCAGUCACACUGGAACUGAGACACGGUCCAGACUCCUACGGGAGGCAGCAGUGGGGAAUAUUGGACAAUGGGCGAAAGCCUGAUCCAGCCAUGCCGCGUGUGUGAAGAAGGUCUUCGGAUUGUAAAGCACUUUAAGUUGGGAGGAAGGGCAGUAAGUUAAUACCUUGCUGUUUUGACGUUACCAACAGAAUAAGCACCGGCUAACUUCGUGCCAGCAGCCGCGGUAAUACGAAGGGUGCAAGCGUUAAUCGGAAUUACUGGGCGUAAAGCGCGCGUAGGUGGUUCAGCAAGUUGGAUGUGAAAUCCCCGGGCUCAACCUGGGAACUGCAUCCAAAACUACUGAGCUAGAGUACGGUAGAGGGUGGUGGAAUUUCCUGUGUAGCGGUGAAAUGCGUAGAUAUAGGAAGGAACACCAGUGGCGAAGGCGACCACCUGGACUGAUACUGACACUGAGGUGCGAAAGCGUGGGGAG
RNAcentral lists this ribosomal RNA (704 nucleotides) under Pseudomonas aeruginosa. Its description in RNAcentral is "bacterial SSU rRNA". It matches the Rfam family "Bacterial small subunit ribosomal RNA", at positions 68 to 768 of the family's 1533-position model. The record is from RNAcentral. Lineage: Bacteria; Pseudomonadati; Pseudomonadota; Gammaproteobacteria; Pseudomonadales; Pseudomonadaceae.